This 379-nucleotide long non-coding RNA is filed under the name Nicotiana benthamiana. RNAcentral's name for it is "long non-coding RNA (NBEN_LNC009918)". The record is from RNAcentral. Lineage: Eukaryota; Viridiplantae; Streptophyta; Magnoliopsida; Solanales; Solanaceae.
GAGCAAGUCCCUUCAUCAUCUACAGCCUAUCUAGUGGGUACUCGAAGGUUAUCCAGACCAAGUAAUCCUCCCCUAUAUUUAUAAGACUAUGUAACCAAAGGCUCCAAACAAUCCUGCUCAUAUCCCUUAUCCUCAUAUGUCACCUAUGCACAACUUAAGCCAGUGUAUCUGCAAGCACUAUCUGCUUAUUCAGCACUGUCAUAGCCAAAGACAUUCAGAGAAGCCUUUGCUGACCCAAAGUGGAUACAAUCUACACAACUGGAGGUAUCUUCUUUAAAAGACAACAAUACUUGAGGUAUUGUUGACUUGUCACCUGGUACCAAAUAGCUGCAAGUGGAUUUUAAUAUUAAGUAUAAAGCCAUAGGAGAGGUGGAGAGAU